GUGAAUCAUCGAAUCUUUGAACGCAACUUGCGCUCUUUGGUAUUCCGAAGAGCAUGCCUGUUUGAGUGUCAUGAAAUCUCAACCAUUAGGGUUUCUUAAUGGAUUGGAUUUGGGUGUUGCCAGCUUGUCUGGCUCGCCUUAAAAGAGUUAGCGAGUUUAGCAAUGUCGUCUGGCGUAAUAAGUUUCGCUGGAUAAGGCUUGUGAAGCGCGCUUCUAAUCGUCUUCGGACAAUUUCUUGAACUCUGGCCUCAAAUCAGGUAGGACUACCCGCUGAACUUAAGCAUAUCAAUAAGCGGAGGA
Molecule: unclassified non-coding RNA, 300 nt
Filed under: Haglerozyma sp.
Lineage: Eukaryota; Fungi; Basidiomycota; Tremellomycetes; Trichosporonales; Trichosporonaceae
Description: partial contains 5.8S ribosomal RNA, internal transcribed spacer 2, and large subunit ribosomal RNA
Rfam family: 5.8S ribosomal RNA (bases 1-71)
Source: RNAcentral